GAUAUACAUUAUCUAUGAAAUAGAAUAAUAAAAGUUUGAAACUUUUGUAUAUCA
RNAcentral lists this transfer RNA (54 nucleotides) under Pseudocapillaria tomentosa. RNAcentral's name for it is "tRNA-Ser". Lineage: Eukaryota; Metazoa; Nematoda; Enoplea; Trichinellida; Capillariidae. The record is from RNAcentral.